UGGGGAAUAUUGGACAAUGGGCGAAAGCCUGAUCCAGCAAUGCCGCGUGAGUGAUGAAGGCCUUAGGGUUGUAAAGCUCUUUUACCCGGGAUGAUAAUGACAGUACCGGGAGAAUAAGCCCCGGCUAACUCCGUGCCAGCAGCCGCGGUAAUACGGAGGGGGCUAGCGUUGUUCGGAAUUACUGGGCGUAAAGCGCGCGUAGGCGGCUUUGUAAGUUAGAGGUGAAAGCCCGGAGCUCAACUCCGGAACUGCCUUUAAGACUGCAUCGCUAGAAUCAUGGAGAGGUGAGUGGAAUUCCGAGUGUAGAGGUGAAAUUCGUAGAUAUUCGGAAGAACACCAGUGGCGAAGGCGACUCACUGGACAUGUAUUGACGCUGAGGUGCGAAAGCGUGGGAGCAACAGGAUUAGAUACCCUGGUAGUCCACGCCGUAAACGAUGAUAACUAGCUGUCGGGGCUCUUGGAGUUUCGGUGGCGCAGCUAACGCAUUAAGUUACG
This 495-nucleotide ribosomal RNA is filed under the name uncultured Pseudomonadota bacterium. RNAcentral's name for it is "bacterial SSU rRNA". It matches the Rfam family "Bacterial small subunit ribosomal RNA", at positions 355 to 871 of the family's 1533-position model. The record is from RNAcentral. Lineage: Bacteria; Pseudomonadati; Pseudomonadota.